RNAcentral lists this ribosomal RNA (254 nucleotides) under uncultured bacterium. RNAcentral's name for it is "partial 16S ribosomal RNA". It matches the Rfam family "Bacterial small subunit ribosomal RNA", at positions 524 to 776 of the family's 1533-position model. The record is from RNAcentral.
CACGUAGGGGGCGAGCGUUGUCCGGAUUUAUUGGGCGUAAAGAGCUCGUAGGCGGUUUGGCAAGUCGGGUGUGAAAUUUCGAGGCUCAACCUCGAAACGCCACUCGAUACUGCCAUGACUGGAGUCCGGUAGAGGAGUGCGGAAUUCCUGGUGUAGCGGUGAAAUGCGCAGAUAUCAGGAGGAACACCAACGGCGAAGGCAGCACUCUGGGCCGGUACUGACGCUGAGGAGCGAAAGCGUGGGUAGCAAACAGG